RNAcentral lists this unclassified non-coding RNA (516 nucleotides) under Lenwebbia sp. Main Range. RNAcentral's name for it is "partial miscellaneous RNA". Lineage: Eukaryota; Viridiplantae; Streptophyta; Magnoliopsida; Myrtales; Myrtaceae. The record is from RNAcentral.
ACUGCCUUGAUCCACUUGGCUACAUCCGCCCCUACUAUUACUAGUAUUUCUAUUUAUUUUUAUUUUCAAAAAAUAUUCCAUUUUGAAUUAAAUAAAUUAAGAAUGGAAAAUAUUUCAUUUCGAUUGUUAAUUUUUAACAUUUUUUACCUUACUUAUGAGAUAGAAGAAGCAGAAAAUGCUACCCUUUGUAUUUUAUUCGAAAAAAAAACUAGAAGAUAAUAAUCUCACAAAGACUUACAAAGGGUUGAAAAGAAUGUAUAUAAAUUAGAAAUUCAUAUCUAAAGUAUGAUACGCAAUCAUAAACCAAUUCCUAAGACUCGAAUACCUUUUCUUAUGUUGAAGUAAAGAAACACUUAUGUAAAGAAAAGAGCACUAGAUAAAGGAACAAUAACCAAUUUCUUAUUCUAUCAAGAGUGUUGGUUAUUGCUCCUUUAUUUUGCAAUCAAAAACUCAACUACACUUAUACUAAGACCAAAGUCUUAUCCAUUUGUAGAUGGAGCUUCGAACAGCAGCUAG